UUUUUUUUAGGAAUUUGAAGUAAUUGCCGAAAUUAUGCUCUUGCAGUCUGCAUGUAACAGCUACUGCUUGACACCAGACCCAAAAUUCCUCCAGUGGUGGAGUAGACAAGAGCAUUUAACUGAGGAGGAGAGCUACAACCUUGCACGUGAGAUUGAAGCAGCUGCUGACACUGGCACCACAUUGCCGAAAUCUCGGAAAAGCGUGGUGAAGAGGUUGAGCCUGUGAGUACGAUGGGGCAAAGGGUAUCUGGUGUGUUAAUAUGAACCUGAAUAAAUCAAACAAGCAGUGCUUGUUUUACCAGCUGAAAAACCUGGUUGGGGAUGCAGACCACUGCAGUACAUUAAGGAGACACCAUCAGCUGGAAAGGCAGACUUCUGUCUGAAGCUGUCCUUGCUGCUGCUAUUGUUAUAAGUAGUCAUGAGGAUUAUUAAUGAUGAAAGAGAUUAGAGACAAAAAAGCCUUCCUAAGGUGUCAGAAAAUAGGAAUAAUUUUAGGGCUGGAUUAUAAAUUCAGUAUCUAUUGCGUAAUAACUUCCCUGAAUGCAGAGGCAAAACAGAGUAAAUGAGGAUAAAGUCUGGCCUGUUAUUAGUCUAAUUUGCUCACACAUGCAAAAAUUCCUUGCAGGAUUUUAAUAUGAAAAUUAAGGUUAGCAAAAGGGCAUUUGAUAAUAGAAACAAUCUGCCCAGCUGCCUUCAGGUUAGAGAAGGAAAUUAAUCAUGGGGACGUGGUUCAAUUGAGUUUAAUACUGCAAAGAUUCAAGCAGGAGGCGGUGGAGAACAGGGGCAUGCAUCUAAGCAGACACAGGAAAGAACAGACUAGCAGGAAUUCAUGGAAAGUUGCAGGGAAUGAAAGCAGAGAUCAAGGGCGGAAGUAAAACUAACUUAAAGACUGUUUUAGGCUCUGAGGUGAUGGCCCAUAACCAACCCGUCAAAGAACAACCAAAAUGUGCUCCAGAUGGGGGCUCUGGUGACAGCACAGACUCGGCCAGUGUUUCAUCAUGCGAGUUUAAUCACUCUGAGCCUGAAGACGCCUGCAUCGCUCCCGUAGGAACUGCUGAUGCGUCUCAGAAAAAGGUACAGUCUGUGCCUUGUUGCCAGAAGAAGGAGCCUAAGAGAGACUGUCGACACUGCCGACAGGGCCUAAACACUUGCCCAAGCCUGCUGGUCUUGUCAAGAGCAUUGCUUUUAGAGGAAUGAAGAGACUCUAGAUACAAAUGUGUAAAAAUGAAAGCAACCCAGUCAGGAUUUUUGCACAGUUCCCUCUGUGUUGCUGAGAUACAAGGCAGACUGAAGCUCUCGUUCCCUGAAAACAGAUUUUCUUGUGGUGCCCGUUAGUGGAAUGGCACGAGGUUCAUUUUUCUUUCAGUCCCUCGUUGUGCUUUUUGAGAGGGAUGGGGCAGGCUAGCGGGCAGCAUUUCUACCUGUGGGAAGUGGGGUGAGGAGCACGUGGCAACGUGACGUUAGCAGUGACACGGACAAGAGGAUUUGUGAGCCCCCUCAAACAAAACCAACUGAAAUGGGAGAUGGGAUCAGCUGAAGAGGAAUAAGCUCAACAGCUAGACAUUUCCUCCUCCAAUACCUCAGGUCUGAUGAAUUAUUCUGGUGUUAGCAGCCUGCUGUUGUGUCCAUCAUUCUCAGUCAGCUGCAGCUGUUAAAGGGAGUUUGACUUCAGCAGCCCUGUGCUCACAAGGAAAGCCCAGCUGCAGCCAAGCUGCGCCUGCAGCCUGGGGAAGAUGUUUUCUGGGUGGGAGAGCACGUGUGCAUUAGGAACAGCCUAAUCCUGCAUGAGGAUAGGGAGGCACUGCAGAGAGACUUGCAUAGAUUGGGUCAGUGGGCCAACGUCAACGGGAUGGGCUUCAACAAGGCCAAGUGCCAGGUCCUGCACUUGGGCCACAACAACCCUCUGCACAGCUACAGGCUUGGGGAGGUGUGGCUGGAGCUGUCUGGAGGAGAAGG
This is a long non-coding RNA of Athene cunicularia (burrowing owl), 1956 nucleotides long. RefSeq lists it as uncharacterized. The transcript is spliced from 3 exons. NCBI's taxonomy places the organism in Eukaryota, Metazoa, Chordata, Aves, Strigiformes, Strigidae. The record is from RefSeq and is a predicted model, not a curated record.